Molecule: ribosomal RNA, 253 nt
Filed under: uncultured bacterium
Lineage: Bacteria
Description: partial 16S ribosomal RNA
Rfam family: Bacterial small subunit ribosomal RNA
Source: RNAcentral
UACGUAGGGUGCAUGCGUUAAUCGGAAUUACUGGGCGUAAAGCGUGCGCAGGCGGUCUUUUAAGUCAGAUGUGAAAUCCCCGGGCUUAACCUGGGAACUGCGUUUGAAACUGGAAGGCUUGAGUGUGGCAGAGGGGGGUGGAAUUCCACGUGUAGCAGUGAAAUGCGUAGAGAUGUGGAGGAACACCGAUGGCGAAGGCAGCCCCCUGGGUUAACACUGACGCUCAUGCACGAAAGCGUGGGGAGCAAACAGG